AAAAGGAGAAGGUUCUAUGAAAAUAUAUAAUGGGGAAUCUGACUUAGUCUGACCUAAUCUUUAAGUCCUUGAAGAGGUGACACUUGGUUUCCAUCAUUGAAGGAAGAGUAUGAGUUAACUGGGCAGUGGAGGGUCGGGGAGGCAGUUAUGGUUGGAAAAGAUAUCAUAGGCAGACGGAAGAGUAUUUGAAGGCCCCAGCAGGAAUGAGAUGAUGAGCUUGAUUCCGUCACGCUUGGCAGAGUAACAUACAGCAGGCUAUCAGUUGGGAGAUGCGUUGGUCAGUUGAGGGAUGGGUGGAGUAGGGCAUUUAUUUUGGUUUAUGGACCAGAUGGCAGAGAGGAAGAAGCUAGCCCUCCCAACACAGUGAUAUCAGUAUCUGCAUGAUGAUGUCCACAUCAUCAGGUUGUUGACUUUGCAUUGAAUUUAGAUUGAUCUGGCAACAUGCUCCUCCCUUACUACAUGUUGACCCCAAGUUUUUUUACUCAUCCUAUCCUGGGAAACACCCUAGGGGUAGGAGCUGAGGUCAAGAGCUCCUUGGGUGUGGGCUUUCCUGUGGCUGCCUGAUUCACAAUGUCCUAGCAUGAGUCCCAGCUGCCUCCAGGAAUGGACAGAACAAAAAGUGACAAGCAUGUGAAUGCCAGGGAUGCCAGUGGCUCUGGAGUGCUGCUGAGCAGAGCUGUUAAAUCCUGGGGUGCCCUGCCCCUCAUCUUCCAAGCUUGGACACACAUGUCUAAGCUUACAAGUCCUCCAAGACGUGAUUGCCCUAUUUGCCACCCCCUCUGAGAAAAGCAGGAUGGAAAUCUGUAGUGCAAAAGGGAAAAUAGGCCCAGAAGCUUAAGAGAGCCUUACUAUUGACAGAACAAGAGGUCAAACAUCUCUCUGUUUCCUAGGCCUCUCCACCAUGAGACUCAACUUCUUGGGAGGUAUUUAAAGAGACCUGGGCUCAGAAAGAGGGUGAAUACAUUUUACAGAACUCUAGGGUUUAAUGUUUAUGUUGAAUAGAAUGAUAAAGAAUCUGGCCUAAGAGGUAAAUAAAUAAUCAUUAUUUAUUUUUGCUUCCCUUGGAGCAUUCCAUGGGCCAUAAACAUUACCAGGCUCUGUGCUUGCUGCUGGGGCACAGAUAUAGAUAAUAAGACCCCAGUGACCCCCUAAAGGAAUGCUUGAUGGCAUUUCUUGGCUGCCUCAGCAUUUCAUUAUACCCAUCCUCCUUCCCAUGUCCCACACUUGGUAUCUCAUGUCACCAAAGGCUUUGACUACUAGUAACUACUAGUUGUCAUCUUGACAUAUAAGAUGAUUGGGAAUAGAGGAGACAGGAAAUAUUGAAUUUGAUCAACAAGUUGGGUCAAUAACCAAGUAAUUAGGGUUUAAAGGGGAUUGGAUAGUUCAGGAAGAAUAUAGAUAGGAGGUGUCUGUUCUAAAGGAUAGCUUAAAAGGCAAACAAAAAUUCUGAAAUUCAAGUUUAAACUUUAGAAAAUGGAAAACCUCUUCUCUCUAAACUACGUUUCCUCUCUCUUUAAAAAUGAAAUAUUUCAAGCAUACAGAAAAAAAAGGGUAAUAUAAUUAGUAUUGUUCUAUUUGAUAGAAACGUUAAACCUUUAGGGUUUUGUACAUAACUUCCAUUGAUUUUCACCUCCUGUCAUUGUAUAUUUUCCUCCCACAUUGACUAGGACUGACAUGUAACAAAUAGGAUACUGUAGGAAUGACAGAGUGUGACUUUUGAGGUUAGGUCAUAAGACAGUUCAGGUUCCUACUUGCCCUGUCUUGGAUCACUCACUGUGGGGGAAGCCUGCCCCCAUGUCACAAGGACACUCAAGCAGCCCUAUGGAGAGGUCCAUGUGGUGAAGAACUAAGGCCACCUGCCAACAACCAACACUAACUUGCUAAGCAUGUGUGUGAACCACCUUGGAGGUGAAUCCCCUAGCCCCCAUCAAGCAUUCGGAUAACUGCAGCUUCAGUCAACGUCUUGACUGUAACCUUAUGAGAAACUCCAGGACAGAACCAUCCAGAUAAACUGCUCCUGAAUUCCUGACCCUCAGAAACUGCAUGAG
RNAcentral lists this long non-coding RNA (2048 nucleotides) under Equus caballus (horse). Its description in RNAcentral is "lncRNA (ENSECAG00000045158.1)". The record is from RNAcentral. Lineage: Eukaryota; Metazoa; Chordata; Mammalia; Perissodactyla; Equidae.